CUCUUCUACGGGAGGCAGCAGUGGGGAAUAUUGCACAAUGGGCGAAAGCCUGAUGCAGCGACGCCGCGUGAGGGAUGACGGCCUUCGGGUUGUAAACCUCUUUCAGCAGGGAAGAAGCGAAAGUGACGGUACCUGCAGAAGAAGCGCCGGCUAACUACGUGCCAGCAGCCGCGGUAAUA
RNAcentral lists this ribosomal RNA (179 nucleotides) under uncultured Kitasatospora sp. RNAcentral describes it as "partial 16S ribosomal RNA". It matches the Rfam family "Bacterial small subunit ribosomal RNA", at positions 334 to 525 of the family's 1533-position model. Lineage: Bacteria; Bacillati; Actinomycetota; Actinomycetes; Kitasatosporales; Streptomycetaceae. The record is from RNAcentral.